This 72-nucleotide transfer RNA is filed under the name Pseudozyma flocculosa PF-1. RNAcentral describes it as "tRNA-Gly (TCC) (tRNA-Gly-TCC-2-1)". It matches the Rfam family "tRNA". From Rfam's summary of the family: Transfer RNA (tRNA) molecules are approximately 80 nucleotides in length. Their secondary structure includes four short double-helical elements and three loops (D, anti-codon, and T loops). The record is from RNAcentral. Lineage: Eukaryota; Fungi; Basidiomycota; Ustilaginomycetes; Ustilaginales; Ustilaginaceae.
GCGUCUGUCGUAUAAUGGUUAUUAUCUCUGCCUUCCAAGCAGAGGACGCGAGUUCGAUUCUCGCCAGACGCA